RNAcentral lists this ribosomal RNA (253 nucleotides) under uncultured bacterium. RNAcentral describes it as "partial 16S ribosomal RNA". It matches the Rfam family "Bacterial small subunit ribosomal RNA", at positions 524 to 776 of the family's 1533-position model. The record is from RNAcentral.
UACGUAGGGGGCAAGCGUUGUCCGGAUUUAUUGGGCGUAAAGAGCGUGUAGGCGGCCAGGUAGGUCUGCUGUGAAAACUCGAGGCUUAACCUCGAGAUGUCGGCGGAAACCAUCUGGCUAGAGUCCGGAAGAGGAGAAUGGAAUUCCCGGUGUAGCGGUGAAAUGCGCAGAUAUCUGGAGGAAUACCGGUGGCGAAGGCGGCAUCCUGGACCGACAUUGACGCUGAACGGCGAAAGCUAGGGGAGCAAACGGG